AGCAAUUAUACCGUGAAACUGCGAAUGGCUCAUUAAAUCAGUUAUCGUUUAUUUGAUAGUACCUUACUACUUGGAUAACCGUGGUAAUUCUAGAGCUAAUACAUGCUAAAAACCCCAACUCCGGGAGGGGUGUAUUUAUUAGAUAAAAAACCAAUGCCCUCCGGGGCUCUUUGGUGAUUCAUAGUAACUUAACGGAUCGCAUGGCCUUGCGCCGGCGACGGUUCAUUCAAAUUUCUGCCCUAUCAACUUUCGAUGGUAAGGUAUUGGCUUACCAUGGUUUCAACGGGUAACGGGGAAUUAGGGUUCGAUUCCGGAGAGGGAGCCUGAGAAACGGCUACCACAUCCAAGGAAGGCAGCAGGCGCGCAAAUUACCCAAUCCCGACACGGGGAGGUAGUGACAAUAAAUACUGAUACAGGGCUCUUUUGGGUCUUGUAAUCGGAAUGAGUACAAUUUAAACCCCUUAACGAGGAACAAUUGGAGGGCAAGUCUGGUGCCAGCAGCCGCGGUAAUUCCAGCUCCAAUAGCGUAUAUUAAAGUUGUUGCAGUUAAAAAGCUCGUAGUUGAACCUUGGGCCUGGCUGGCUGGUCCGCCUCACCGCGUGUACUGGUCCGGCCGGGCCUUUCCUUCUGGAGAACCCCAUGCCCUUCACUGGGUGUGCGGGGGAACCAGGACUUUUACUGUGAAAAAAUUAGAGUGUUCAAAGCAGGCCUUUGCUCGAAUACGUUAGCAUGGAAUAAUAGAAUAGGACGUGCGGUUCUAUUUUGUUGGUUUCUAGGACCGCCGUAAUGAUUAAUAGGGAUAGUCGGGGGCAUCAGUAUUCAAUUGUCAGAGGUGAAAUUCUUGGAUUUAUUGAAGACUAACUACUGCGAAAGCAUUUGCCAAGGAUGUUUUCAUUAAUCAGUGAACGAAAGUUAGGGGAUCGAAGACGAUCAGAUACCGUCGUAGUCUUAACCGUAAACUAUGCCGACUAGGGAUCGGGCGAUGUUUCUAUCUUGACUCGCUCGGCACCUUACGAGAAAUCAAAGUUUUUGGGU
This 1035-nucleotide ribosomal RNA is filed under the name Murispora trisepata. RNAcentral describes it as "SSU rRNA". It matches the Rfam family "Eukaryotic small subunit ribosomal RNA", at positions 68 to 1112 of the family's 1831-position model. Lineage: Eukaryota; Fungi; Ascomycota; Dothideomycetes; Pleosporales; Amniculicolaceae. The record is from RNAcentral.